AAUGAACGCUGGCGGCAUGCCUAACACAUGCAAGUCGAACGAAGGCUUCGGCCUUAGUGGCGCACGGGUGCGUAACGCGUGGGAAUCUGCCCUUGGGUUCGGAAUAACAGUUAGAAAUGACUGCUAAUACCGGAUGAUGUCGUAAGACCAAAGAUUUAUCGACCAAGGAUGAGCCCGCGUAGGAUUAGCUAGUUGGUGGGGUAAAGGCCUACCAAGGCGACGAUCCUUAGCUGGUCUGAGAGGAUGAUCAGCCACACUGGGACUGAGACACGGCCCAGACUCCUACGGGAGGCAGCAGUGGGGAAUAUUGGACAAUGGGCGAAAGGCUGAUCCAGCAAUGCCGCGUGAGUGAUGAAGGCCUGAGGGUUGUAAAGCUCUUUUACCCGGGAUGAUAAUGACAGUACCGGGAGAAUAAGCUACGGCUAACUUCGUG
This 433-nucleotide ribosomal RNA is filed under the name uncultured bacterium. Its description in RNAcentral is "partial 16S ribosomal RNA". It matches the Rfam family "Bacterial small subunit ribosomal RNA", at positions 29 to 507 of the family's 1533-position model. The record is from RNAcentral.